GUGCCAGCCGCCGCGGUAAUACGUAGGGUCCGAGCGUUGUCCGGAAUUAUUGGGCGUAAAGGGCUCGUAGGCGGUUUGUCGCGUCGGGAGUGAAAUCUUACAGCUUAACUGUGAACUUGCUUUCGAUACGGGCAGACUUGAGGCAUUCAGGGGAGAACGGAAUUCCUGGUGUAGCGGUGAAAUGCGCAGAUAUCAGGAGGAACACCGGUGGCGAAGGCGGUUCUCUGGGAAUGUUCUGACGCUGAGGAGCGAAAGUGUGGGGAGCGAACAGGAUUAGAAACCCGCGUAGUCC
This 292-nucleotide ribosomal RNA is filed under the name uncultured bacterium. RNAcentral's name for it is "partial 16S ribosomal RNA". It matches the Rfam family "Bacterial small subunit ribosomal RNA", at positions 505 to 796 of the family's 1533-position model. The record is from RNAcentral.